UACAUGUGGGGCAAGCGUUGUUCGGAAUUACUGGGCGUAAAGCGCACGUAGGCGGAUUGUUAAGUCGGGGGUGAAAUCCUGGAGCUCAACUCCAGAACUGCCUUCGAUACGGGCAGACUAGAGUUCGGCAGGGGAGACUGGAAUUCCUGGUGUAGCGGUGAAAUGCGCAGAUAUCAGGAGGAACACCGGUGGCGAAGGCGGGUCUCUGGGCCGAUACUGACGCUGAGGAGCGAAAGCGUGGGGAGCGAACAGG
Molecule: ribosomal RNA, 253 nt
Filed under: uncultured bacterium
Lineage: Bacteria
Description: partial 16S ribosomal RNA
Rfam family: Bacterial small subunit ribosomal RNA
Source: RNAcentral